RNAcentral lists this long non-coding RNA (2809 nucleotides) under Zea mays. RNAcentral describes it as "long non-coding RNA (ZMAY_LNC005370)". Lineage: Eukaryota; Viridiplantae; Streptophyta; Magnoliopsida; Poales; Poaceae. The record is from RNAcentral.
UAAAGCAUCGUCUUGAUGGCCUCCUUAACCACACCGUCAUACUCUCCAGCCUGCUAAACAAGCUAGCUAGCCGCCAUCACCAAUCCACAAGCUAGCAGUGAUGGGUUGUGCGGAGGAGAUCAAUCUGGCCGAACCGUGGCGGGAUCCUUCGGCGUGCGUGAACAAAAAUUUGGAGAGCCACCGGGACUAGUAGACUGGCGGGCAUCGCAUCGACCGCCGGGGUUGGCCACCACCGUGAGGCACCCGAUUGCUGCAACCUGUUCCGUCUCGUCGUCCAUUGAAGGUGAGCGCUAUCUGUUGUUUUCAUAGGCACCUGCGAUUAGUAGAUCCUGCUCGUAAGUAUGGAGGAAGGGGGGUUGAGGCCAUUUGGAUGGGCUACCCGGUGAAUCACCACAGCGAGGUUCAUCCUACGCCAGGGCGGCCUCGUUUGAUUCUCUAGAUGCCGGCAUCCCGGUUUAUCGGUAGCUUCUCUACUCGCAGUCUAGUUACACACAGCGCCGGUCACCUAUGGUCGCGCAUAGCCCUAAGCCUAGCUCCCCAUUAAUGCCGGAGCUUACCACCGAGGGAUGCAUGGCGUGACCAUGGCUGUGAGGCGAGAAGGAAGAAGACAUGUGUGCCGUUCGGUCCAUGUUCGACGGUCCUGAUUAUGGGAGCAAACCGUUUCAGAUUGAUUCAUUUGGGCCAUUAGAUGCGAGCUGAACGAUCCACGUUAGACCUCUGUUCAUAACCUUUGACCAUCGAUCCAAAUCUGAUGGCCUGGUUCGCUCACCCCACAGAUCUUGUGCGCCCACGGUCGUGUAGCCCAUCAUGUGGCCGGACUCUAUCAAUGAGAUCACAGCAUGUCGCCUAUAAUCCGUAAAAUAUUAUUUUACUCAAUAUAUUUGCGUUAUAGAUCCAUUUCAACCGUUACAAGUGCGUUAAGUUUGUAAUAAUAUCAUCUACGUGUUAGAAACAUUAUUUGUCAUGAAACGUUUUUGAUUGAUUGAUUGAUUAAUUAAUUAAUUAUUCAUCCGAUGAUUAUUAAAAUGGCGAUUUAGUUAAAACUAAGUCAUAGUUUAAAUUUGUGCUUUUAUAAAUACCUGUUAAUGUGGUUAAUGCCUACUCUAAUGUUUUUUAAACUUAUUUAGUAUAAACAUGAUAUAUUUUAGUGAUUCUCGUGUGUUGCGCUCGGCAUCGUCACGCUGUUCGCGCAUGUUGCCGCGCAUCGUUCACACGUAUUACGUGCUGUCCGAGCCUGAUAUUAAAUUGUUUCGUCAUAUUAUUCAUGUCAGAUAAUUAAUUACUUGCUUAGUUGUCAGCCAUUAAAAUAACAAUUCAAUCGACUCACAUUUAUAAUUUAAAUUUAUAUUUAUAAAUGCAUGUUAACAUGACUAUACCUGUCGGGUACCGUAAUUAGGGGUACCCCCAAUACUCCUAAGCAUGGCUGAAAGGCAUCUUCAAAACAGACCAUAAAGACUGACAAGCACGGUUCAAGUCAAGGCCUCGUCAACCAAGGGACGCGAUCUCGUCUCGCCCGAGCCCGGCCUCGGGCAAGAACAGUAGUCCCGGACGGAUUCACGCCUCACCCGAGGCCCCCCUCAGGCAGUGGGCGCACCCCCGGCUCGCCUGAGGCCAAGCUCGGGCAAACUUUGUCGUACAGCAACCUCGGCCAUAUCGCCUUACCACCGUCCGUAUCGCAUGCGCAUUUAAUGCGGGGAUCACCUGACAUCUUAUCCUGACACGCGCGACUUAGUUGGCAAGGUCGAAAUGACCGCAGUCACUUCGCCCCCUUUACUGAUCGUUCUGACAGGAAAACAACAUUAUUCACCCCGUUCCGACUACUGUGCCAACCACCAGGGUAAAGCUAACGACAGUAAGUCACGACCUCCCCUGAGUUCAGCCUCGGGCACAACAAGGAGAUCUGCCUCGCCCGACCCUAGGCCUCGGCCUCAGCCUCGGCCUCGGGAGAAGGUCUCCGCCUCGCCCGACCCCAGGCCUCAGCCUUAGCCUCGGUCUCGGGAGAAGGUCUCCGCCUCGCCCGACCCCAGGCCUCGGCCUCAGCCUCGGGAAGAGUCACAACCUCGCCCGACCUCAGGAGAAGUCACCGCCUCGCCCGACCUCGGCCUCGGACCGACUACGCCACAGGGGAUACAUCAUUACCCUACCCCUAGCUAGCUGCCUCAGGCUACGAAGGAACAAGACCGGUGUCCCAUAUAGAUUACUCCGGCAAUAGGUAAUGAUGGUUCCCUGCUUGCGUCCAUUGUUCUCAACUCUCUACGAAGGCAAAGAAACGUCAGCAGGACCCAGGACCGCACCGUCAGCUACGCUUCUACAGGGCUCAAGCACUUCUCCGCCUGCCACGUUAGCGCAUAGCUACACCCCCAUAUGUACAGCUGGAUCAUCUCCUUGUAUCUAUAAAAGGGGAUGUCCAGGGCCUUCCCGGGGGAAAAGGGGUGGACGCGAAGGAGGCUAACUCAGACGUCUCACUCCAAGGCCAAACCCUCUCUCCCGCGAAGCUUGUAACCCCUACUAAGAGCACCCCGGUGCAAGAUAAUAUAAGCCUCAUUGUGGCGGAACUGCCCGAAUUAUUCCAACUUAAGUGCCUCAGUCCCGCCUCAGAGGCUAGACCACACUUAAAUGGGAAUAACCCGCCAAUUCCUCGGAUCUAGUCCGACGAGGCCACUGACAGGAUCAAGUAUCACAAUCUCACUCGAUGGUGAGUCACAGAGCAAAUACAAUAAAGCAUAAAACCAUACAUUAAGGAGUAUUAAAUUAUUACAUCAUCAUCGGAGUUUUUGCAAAAGUAGCCGUCAUUGUUCGAAGUGCAGCG